RNAcentral lists this unclassified non-coding RNA (345 nucleotides) under soil metagenome. Its description in RNAcentral is "partial contains 5.8S ribosomal RNA, internal transcribed spacer 2, and large subunit ribosomal RNA". The stretch from base 1 to 120 matches the Rfam family "5.8S ribosomal RNA", at positions 35 to 154 of the family's 154-position model. The record is from RNAcentral.
GAUGAAGAACGCAGCGAAAUGCGAUACGUAAUGUUAAUUGCAGAAUUCAGUGAAUCAUCGAGUCUUUGAACGCACAUUGCGCCCUCUGGUAUUCCGGAGGGCAUGCCUGUCCGAGCGUCAUUGCUGCCCUCAAGCACGGCUUGUGUGUUGGGCUCCGUCCCCCGAUCCCGGGGGACGGGCCCGAAAGGCAGCGGCGGCACCGCGUCCGGUCCUCGAGCGUAUGGGGCUUUGUCACCCGCUCUGUAGGCCCGGCCGGCGCUUGCCGAUCAACCAAAUUUUUAUCCAGGUUGACCUCGGAUCAGGUAGGGAUACCCGCUGAACUUAAGCAUAUCAAUAAGCGGAGGA